CAAGAUCUAUGAUGUCGCGGAGUUGGAUUCGGGGUUUGAACUUUAUAGGGUUUGGAUUAGGAGUCAGAAUUUGAAACGUUGUAGGGUUUGGAUUCCGAGUUUUACGUUAGUUCGCUUUUUGACACACACAUACAAGAUCUAUGAUGUUGCGGAGUUGGAUUCGGGGUUUGAACUUUAUAGGGUCUGGAUUAGGAGUCAGAAUUUGAAACGUUGUAAGGUUUGGAUUCCGAGUUUUACGUUAAUUCACUUUUUGAUAUACACAGACAAGAUCUAUGAUGUCGCGGAGUUGGAUUCGGGGUUUGAACUUUAUAGGGUUUGGAUUAGGAGUCAGGAUUUGAA
RNAcentral lists this long non-coding RNA (339 nucleotides) under Capsicum annuum. RNAcentral describes it as "long non-coding RNA (CANN_LNC015063)". Lineage: Eukaryota; Viridiplantae; Streptophyta; Magnoliopsida; Solanales; Solanaceae. The record is from RNAcentral.